UACGAACCGUACAAACGUUAUUCGGAAUCACUGGGCUUAAAGGGUGCGUAGGCGGCCAUGUAAGUGGGGUGUGAAAUCCCUCGGCUCAACCGAGGAACUGCGCUCCAUACUGCAUGGCUUGAGGGAGACAGGGGUAAGCGGAACUGAUGGUGGAGCGGUGAAAUGCGUUGAUAUCAUCAGGAACACCGGUGGCGAAAGCGGCUUACUGGGUCCCUUCUGACGCUGAGGUACGAAAGCUAGGGUAGCGAACGGG
Molecule: ribosomal RNA, 253 nt
Filed under: uncultured bacterium
Lineage: Bacteria
Description: partial 16S ribosomal RNA
Rfam family: Bacterial small subunit ribosomal RNA
Source: RNAcentral